UACGUAGGUGGCAAGCGUUGUCCGGAUUUAUUGGGUUUAAAGGGUGCGUAGGCGGCCCUGUAAGUCAGUGGUGAAAUACUCCAGCUUAACUGGAGGGGUGCCAUUGAUACUGCAGGGCUUGAGUGGAGUCGAAGUAGGCGGAAUUGACGGUGUAGCGGUGGAAUGCGUAGAUAUCGGGAGGAACACCAGUGGCGAAGGCGGUUGCCUGGAGCUUUGCUGACGCUGAGGCGCGAAAGCGUGGGGAGCGAUCCGG
Molecule: ribosomal RNA, 253 nt
Filed under: uncultured bacterium
Lineage: Bacteria
Description: partial 16S ribosomal RNA
Rfam family: Bacterial small subunit ribosomal RNA
Source: RNAcentral